RNAcentral lists this ribosomal RNA (433 nucleotides) under uncultured bacterium. RNAcentral describes it as "partial 16S ribosomal RNA". It matches the Rfam family "Bacterial small subunit ribosomal RNA", at positions 29 to 507 of the family's 1533-position model. The record is from RNAcentral.
AGCGAACGCUGGCGGCAGGCCUAACACAUGCAAGUCGAACGGAUCCUUCGGGAUUAGUGGCGGACGGGUGAGUAACACGUGGGAACGUGCCCUUUGGUUCGGAACAACUCAGGGAAACUUGAGCUAAUACCGGAUGUGCCCUUCGGGGGAAAGAUUUAUCGCCAUUGGAGCGGCCCGCGUCUGAUUAGCUAGUUGGCGAGGUAACGGCCCACCAAGGCGACGAUCAGUAGCUGGUCUGAGAGGAUGAUCAGCCACACUGGGACUGAGACACGGCCCAGACUCCUACGGGAGGCAGCAGUGGGGAAUCUUGCGCAAUGGGCGAAAGCCUGACGCAGCCAUGCCGCGUGAAUGAUGAAGGUCUUAGGAUUGUAAAAUUCCUUCAGCGGGGACGAUAAUGACGGUACCCGCAGAAGAAGCUCCGGCUAACUUCGUG